RNAcentral lists this ribosomal RNA (489 nucleotides) under uncultured bacterium. RNAcentral's name for it is "partial 16S ribosomal RNA". It matches the Rfam family "Bacterial small subunit ribosomal RNA", at positions 29 to 504 of the family's 1533-position model. The record is from RNAcentral.
AGUGAACGCUGACGGUAGGCCUAACACAUGCAAGUCGAACGGCAGCACAGUAAGAGCUUGCUCUUACGGGUGGCGAGUGGCGGACGGGUGAGGAAUACAUCGGAAUCUACUUUUUCGUGGGGGAUAACGUAGGGAAACUUACGCUAAUACCGCAUACGACCUACGGGUGAAAGCAGGGGAUCUUCGGACCUUGCGCGAUUGAAUGAGCCGAUGUCGGAUUAGCUAGUUGGCGGGGUAAAGGCCCACCAAGGCGACGAUCCGUAGCUGGUCUGAGAGGAUGAUCAGCCACACUGGAACUGAGACACGGUCCAGACUCCUACGGGAGGCAGCAGUGGGGAAUAUUGGACAAUGGGCGCAAGCCUGAUCCAGCCAUACCGCGUGGGUGAAGAAGGCCUUCGGGUUGUAAAGCCCUUUUGUUGGGAAAGAAAAGCAGCAGGUUAAUACCCCGCUGUUCUGACGGUACCCAAAGAAUAAGCACCGGCUAACUUC